AUGGAUCCAGAAAAGGUAGUGCAGAUGUUGAUUGCAUAUUGUGAUCCCUCCAAAGAAGCAUAUGAGCCUAUCGCCGAGGAUUGGACAGAUGUUCAAGCGGACAACAACACAAAAGAGGCCGAUGAUAGUUAUCUUUGCAACCCAAUCCCGGAGAAUGAGCAUGUUGGUAUUGAUGAGGAGAAAAUGUAUUUGGAGAAAGAACCUAUACCUCUAAAAUUGGUUCUUUUUUCUGGUAAAGAGAAAGACAAAACCAAUGUUUCUGAGGAUGAUAGCGAGGAUGGGAGCGAGGAGGAGCCUGAAGUAGAGGAGGAGGAGUUGCAUGAGCCAGAUCAUGCCCCAAAUACAGAGUAUGACCAGCAAGACCCUCCAAUGACUGUAGGAUCCACAUAUCCCAAUAUGGAUGUGUUUAAGUUGGCUCUUUCUCAGCAUGCAGUCAAACGUGACUUUGAGUAUAACACAGAAAAGAGCACAAAACAUAGGUUAAGGGCCUAUUGUAAAAGAAGAGAUGAAGAUGAUUGCCCAUGGAGGAUACAUGCUUCUACAACAGCCGAUAGGCGUACUGUAAUGGUAAAAACAACCUUUUGA
This 585-nucleotide ribosomal RNA is filed under the name Triticum aestivum (bread wheat). Its description in RNAcentral is "partial small subunit ribosomal RNA". Lineage: Eukaryota; Viridiplantae; Streptophyta; Magnoliopsida; Poales; Poaceae. The record is from RNAcentral.